UAAGUAUCUGUAAUUUACCCUCUAGCAAUACAAAUGAGAACUUAAACCUCAAUGAAUUCAAUAAAUGAAACAUUUUCAGAACACUUACUUAAAAUCAGGUCUACUUUUUAAUCAGUCAUGUUUUAAGUGAAUGCUUAUUAAUAGAGUAUUAAUAAAACAUGCUUAUGGAAUGAGAUUUCAAGAAAGCGGUGAAAUGAAUAAAAGACAAAGAAAGUGGAAAGAGCUAAUGCAUAAUUUUUAACUUUCAAAAAACAACUUAGUUUUAGUUACAUAUUUAUUUCAAAUUAAACAGUAGAUUUUAAAUCUUUUUUUUACAGUUAUAUAUAAAGAAAAAACACUACAAGAUAAUAUUGCCUGUGAAUUCAUGACCCUUUUACACGGCCCAAGUUCCCUCUGCUUUUGACAUUCAAACUAAAAUAUUAAUCUCAUUUUUUUCCUUUAAAUAAUUUCUGCCUGACUUCUAUCACUACCUAGGGGGAUGAAGCUAUAAGGUUUUAUUUUUAAAGAAUGC
Molecule: long non-coding RNA, 511 nt
Filed under: Bos taurus (domestic cattle)
Lineage: Eukaryota; Metazoa; Chordata; Mammalia; Artiodactyla; Bovidae
Description: long non-coding RNA NONBTAT006262
Source: RNAcentral